AUAAAAGGUACUCCGGGGAUAACAGGCUUAUCGCGCCCAAGAGUUCACAUCGACGGCGCGGUUUGGCACCUCGAUGUCGGCUCAUCGCAUCCUGGGGCUGGAGCAGGUCCCAAGGGUUUGGCUGUUCGCCAAUUAAAGCGGUACGUGAGCUGGGUUUAGAACGUCGUGAGACAGUUCGGUCCCUAUCUUUCGUGGGCGUAGGAUAUUUGAGAGGAGCUUUCCCUAGUACGAGAGGACCGGGAUGGACGAACCGCUAGUGUACCAGUUGUCGCGCCAGCGGCAUAGCUGGGUAGCUACGUUCGGAAUGGAUAACCGCUGAAAGCAUCUAAGCGGGAAGCCAACCUCAAGAUAAGAUAUCCCUCCCGAUGGAGACAUCGGGACUUAAGACCCCUUGUAGACUACAAGGUUGAUAGGCCAGGUGUAUAAGUGCGGUAACGUAUUUAGCUAACUGGUACUAAUAGGUCGUGCGGCUUGGCCAU
Molecule: ribosomal RNA, 479 nt
Filed under: Desulfobacteraceae bacterium
Lineage: Bacteria; Pseudomonadati; Thermodesulfobacteriota; Desulfobacteria; Desulfobacterales; Desulfobacteraceae
Description: partial 23S ribosomal RNA
Rfam family: Bacterial large subunit ribosomal RNA
Source: RNAcentral